ACGGAAAGACCCCGUGAACCUUUACUAUAGCUUGACACUGAACAUUGAGCCUUGAUGUGUAGGAUAGGUGGGAGGCUUUGAAGUGUGGACGCCAGUCUGCAUGGAGCCGACCUUGAAAUACCACCCUUUAAUGUUUGAUGUUCUAACGUGGACCCGUUACCCGGGUUGCGGACAGUGUCUGGUGGGUAGUUUGACUGGGGCGGUCUCCUCCUAAAGAGUAACGGAGGAGCACGAAGGUUGGCUAAUCCUGGUCGGACAUCAGGAGGUUAGUGCAAUGGCAUAAGCCAGCUUGACUGCGAGCGUGACGGCGCGAGCAGGUGCGAAAGCAGGUCAUAGUGAUCCGGUGGUUCUGAAUGGAAGGGCCAUCGCUCAACGGAUAAAAGGUACUCCGGGGAUAACAGGCUGAUACCGCCCAAGAGUUCAUAUCGACGGCGGUGUUUGGCACCUCGAUGUCGGCUCAUCACAUCCUGGGGCUGAAGUAGGUCCCAAGGGUAUGGCUGUUCGCCAUUUAAAGUGGUACGCGAGCUGGGUUUAGAACGUCGUGAGACAGUUCGGUCCCUAUCUGCCGUGGGCGCUGGAGAACUGAGGGGGGCUGCUCCUAGUACGAGAGGACCGGAGUGGACGCAUCACUGGUGUUCGGGUUGUCAUGCCAAUGGCACUGCCCGGUAGCUAAAUGCGGAAGAGAUAAGUGCUGAAAGCAUCUAAGCACGAAACUUGCCCCGAG
Molecule: ribosomal RNA, 724 nt
Filed under: Salmonella enterica
Lineage: Bacteria; Pseudomonadati; Pseudomonadota; Gammaproteobacteria; Enterobacterales; Enterobacteriaceae
Description: partial 23S ribosomal RNA
Rfam family: Bacterial large subunit ribosomal RNA
Source: RNAcentral